AUUGAACGCUGGCGGCAGGCCUAACACAUGCAAGUCGAGCGGAUGAAGGGAGCUUGCUCCUGGAUUCAGCGGCGGACGGGUGAGUAAUGCCUAGGAAUCUGCCUGGUAGUGGGGGAUAACGUCCGGAAACGGGCGCUAAUACCGCAUACGUCCUGAGGGAGAAAGUGGGGGAUCUUCGGACCUCACGCUAUCAGAUGAGCCUAGGUCGGAUUAGCUAGUUGGUGGGGUAAAGGCCUACCAAGGCGACGAUCCAUAACUGGUCUGAGAGGAUGAUCAGUCACACUGGAACUGAGACACGGUCCAGACUCCUACGGGAGGCAGCAGUGGGGAAUAUUGGACAAUGGGCGAAAGCCUGAUCCAGCCAUGCCGCGUGUGUGAAGAAGGUCUUCGGAUUGUAAAGCACUUUAAGUUGGGAGGAAGGGCAGUAAGUUAAUACCUUGCUGUUUUGACGUUACCAGCAGAAUAAGCACCGGCUAACUUCGUG
This 484-nucleotide ribosomal RNA is filed under the name uncultured bacterium. RNAcentral describes it as "partial 16S ribosomal RNA". It matches the Rfam family "Bacterial small subunit ribosomal RNA", at positions 30 to 507 of the family's 1533-position model. The record is from RNAcentral.